This is a long non-coding RNA of Athene cunicularia (burrowing owl), 1753 nucleotides long. RefSeq lists it as uncharacterized. The transcript has 5 exons. The record is from RefSeq and is a predicted model, not a curated record. Lineage: Eukaryota; Metazoa; Chordata; Aves; Strigiformes; Strigidae.
CCUUUGUGCUCAAAUAAUGUAAUGCUAUGCUUUCCAUUUUGAAACGCAAUUACUACUAGUGGGAUUUAUGCCAUAGGAGAAGAAUUUUUGUUGCUAAAUCUUUUGGUUGUUCAGGCUGCUUUGUCUCACCGCAUAGUUACUUACAUGACUUCGCAUACAUAGAUAUGCAGCUAAAGAUACGUAUAUAUGUGGGGGGGUGUUGGUUUGGGAUGUCUUUUUAAGGAAGUUACUGUGAAAGACAUUAUGAUGAUAUGAAUCGUUAUGAUGAGCGCAAUUUUCAUGGAAAAGAUGAUGAGACUCCUGGUACAUAUUCACUGUAUCCCCUGAGCACACUCAUUUUCUAAUAUUCUGGAGGUAGAUGAGGGAUCUCAGCUGACAGCUCACCAAUUUCCACCCACUCUGACAUAAUUCUCUAGUCUGCUCUAGACACAAUUAGCUCCAUCUCUGCUGGGAGCACUCAGUAGCAAGCCCUUGGAUGCUGCUCCCUAUGUCUCCUUACUGGGGACCCACACAGGGUGUGCUGAAGAUUUCCUGGCAGACCACGUGCCCAUGUUUUUCCUGGUGGCAGCAAGGACUGGGGAAAGGAAAGAAGGGCUUGCUUAACCAUAGACUUGUAUUCUCUAUUUUGUUGUACAAGUCAGUUAGGAAAGAAAUGAAUCGCUGCAGAUUCCUGGAGCAUUUAUUGUGCAUCCGGAGGUUUGCUUUUCCCUUAGUAUCACAGAUAACAUGGUAUUAGCUUAGAGUGAUGAUGAAGAGCUAAUUCUCCCUGGUUUGGAUUGUAUCUCCUGUGCCAAUAUUUCAGUGGACUAAACUGUUCUCAAGAAUGUUCUCAAAUGAGAUAAAAUCAACAAACUGAAGCCAAUUUCUCUUACACACAGCCAUAAAGCUCUUUCAAAAAAAGUCUGAAAUUAUGCUUCAUGAUAAGUAUUUCAGCUGCUGCUUUAGCAUUGUCUAACUGCAGUGAUUUAGAGCAAAGCCUUGCCUGCAUUUCGGUGAAAGCAAGGAGAAAUUUGUACUCAGUCUUGCCUGGCCAGCUGGAUUCUGAGUACAAGUCAAGCCCUUGUACCACCCUUACUCAGUGAUAAGUGUGCAAACAGGGUGAGAGAAGGUUGGCAUUUUAGUUCAGGUCAGAACUGCACUUCUGAAGCAAAUCUGAUUUCUCCCACUUCCUGUGCUUUUUCUUGCACUGCAUAUGAGCUGGACUUUUGGGUGAAACCAGCUUCGGAAAGGUACUCCAGGAGGACAAUCCCUGUGCUCCAGCCAGUCAGUACAUGGGACCAGACUGAAAAACCCAACCACGUGGAUAAUAGGGAUGUGGGGUCCUCAUUACCAACUGUAGAUCUGUUCCUGUUUGGCUCUUUAGCUUCCUAGUGUAGAUACAGCCAUCUGACAUCCAGAAUCCAUCAGCAGGGAAGAAAACGGAGGAGGCUAUAAGAACAAAAAAAUCGCAGUGGUUGAAGGUGUGAAACUGGAUUCAUAAUGAGAAGAACAAACUGAUUAAGCAAUAUACCAGUUACGGAAAAGACUCAAAAGUAUCACCAAAAAGAGGACUGAGCAAUACUCUGAAUUUCAUGUCUUUGACGAACCAUCAUUCAAGGAGGCUGACCCAGCUGUACUGGAGGUGAAGAGAAGCCUGAUCCACUUCUCUCUGUGUGAAACUUGGAAACAGCAGUGGAAUGCCUACACAGCUUGGCCAACAACAAAUGUGCUGGAAAUUCCUCAAGGGGAAGAAGAUCCCUCUCCCGCUAGCUGA